UCCAUCUCCACCCCUGGAAAAGUGGCUCGGUGAGGGCGAGGACAGUAUUUGGUCACUGCUGAGCCCCUGGCCCUCUGCUGGCCCACCGCAGGUCCCAGAAAAUACUAAGUGAUGAAUGAAGCAAAGAUUUUGUGUCCCCUGUGGGGACAAGAGGCAGCGAGGGGAUGUGGUUUGAAGACCCAAAUGGUGGAAUUAAGGAAGCAACAGUAGGGGAACAUGCUUGAAACAGGUCAACCAGGGGUGGGGGGCACCUUGGAUGUGUGGUGUCUGGUCUGGCACAACGUCCUGGACAUUUUUGGCUUUUCAAGGUUCUUUCCUUGCUCCCUGAGGCAAGGACAAUGGGUGUUAGCUUCUGGCCCUCCGUCUCCCAGCACGAGCCCGGGCCUGUGUGUGGUGCUAAAAGGCUCUUGAUUAAGAACCAGGGUGCACAACCCAAAUUUGGGGACCUCUUCUCUCAUCGAGAACUUGCACCAAAUUUCAUUCCAAAGCAGGCCCCUCCCUGCCCAGGGCCCUCCCGGCUCCCUCGGAGGCUCUAGAUGAGAUACACCCUCUACCCUUUGGAAUUGCCUUCCUUCCUGGUCUUUAAAGUGAGGCUCUCAACUCACCUCUUCAAGGAGUGAACUCCAGACCUGCUUGCCCCGGGGCCCCUGUGCAUACCCUCCUGACCCCAUGACCCCGGCUCUCCCCCUCUCCACGCCCCCCCCCCCCAGCUUUGUGCCAGACUCGUUUGUUGGGUGUACUUGUGCGAAGAGGAGCCGAGGGCUGGGAGGCAGAGCUGGGUUUGAAUCUCAUGCCAACACUUGCAGCUGUGUGACCUUGAGCAGGUGAGUGCAUGUCUCUGAGCUUCCUCAUUGGUAAAAUGAGAGAGCAACACCCACCUAGCAGGAGGAUUUAUUGAGACUAUGCAUGCCAGGUUGCAGGCAUUGUGCAUGGUGCUCCUUCCCAUCCCUCAGGACUCCUCAUACGUCACCUCUGCUCAUACAUCACCUCUGGGAGUCCUCCCUGACCCGUCACAAGCCAUGCCUCGCCUGCCAUACCUGGCCUCAUUGUCCUUCAAGCCCUUACACAUCUCUCAAUGUGCUUGUUUGUCGUCUGUCUCCCUUUCUCAAAUGUCAGGUCUCCGAGAGUAGGGGUUUUGUCUAUCUCGUUCAUUUCUGAAUCCCAGGGACCUGGAAGAGGGCCCAGCAUACACUGACUGACUGAAUGGCGGGUAUGUACCUAGUAGGCGCUGUAUAAAUGGAAGCUAUUGUUAUUCCCGUGCAUCUCUGUCUUCUCUGCUUGCAUCUGGUUGGUUGGCCGAGCUCACCUUCAUGCCCGGGGCAGUCCCAGCUCGAAUCACCUGCCAAACUGCAGUAAUGGGGUCACUGUCCUGCCUGGGCUCCUGUGUGCCCUGCCCCAGGCAGGGGAGGCUGUGCACCCUGGAGGCCACCUCAGCAGCCCGCCCUUCCAGGCAGAGGCCAGUGGGUCUGCCUGCUCCACCUCUUCCAGGUAAACAGCCAACGCCAGACACGUGGAGCAUCCCCACAACCCUUGUCAGGGUCAAAGAAAUCCGGACAAGACUAGUAGGGCUACCUGCCAUGGCAGAGGCCCAGGCUCUCAUCCCAGCUCUGCCUCCAAUUUGCUGUGGGUUCUCAGCAUUAUUCACAAUAGCCAAGACGUGGAAGCAACCCAAGUGCCCAGCAACAGAUGAAUGGAUAAAGAAGAUGUGGUAUAUAUAUACAAUGGAAUACUACUCAGCCAUAAAAAAGACAAAAUCAUCCCAUUUGCAACAACAUGGAUGGACCUUGAGGGUAUUAUGCUAAGCAAAAUAAGCCAGACAGAGAAAGACAAAUACCAGAUGAUUUCACUCAUAUGUGGAAUAUAAACAAAC
This 1870-nucleotide long non-coding RNA is filed under the name Equus caballus (horse). RNAcentral's name for it is "lncRNA (ENSECAG00000052832.1)". The record is from RNAcentral. Lineage: Eukaryota; Metazoa; Chordata; Mammalia; Perissodactyla; Equidae.